RNAcentral lists this ribosomal RNA (254 nucleotides) under uncultured bacterium. Its description in RNAcentral is "partial 16S ribosomal RNA". It matches the Rfam family "Bacterial small subunit ribosomal RNA", at positions 524 to 776 of the family's 1533-position model. The record is from RNAcentral.
UACAGAGGUCUCAAGCGUUGUUCGGAUUCAUUGGGCGUAAAGGGCGCGUAGGCGGCCAGCGCAAGUCAGUUGUGAAAUCUCCGGGCUUAACUCGGAAAGGUCAACUGAUACUGCGCGGCUAGAGUGCAGAAGGGGCAACUGGAAUUCUCGGUGUAGCGGUGAAAUGCGUAGAUAUCGAGAGGAACACCUGCGGCGAAGGCGGGUUGCUGGGCUGACACUGACGCUGAUGCGCGAAAGCCAGGGGAGCGAACGGG